This 469-nucleotide ribosomal RNA is filed under the name uncultured bacterium. RNAcentral's name for it is "bacterial SSU rRNA". It matches the Rfam family "Bacterial small subunit ribosomal RNA", at positions 335 to 792 of the family's 1533-position model. The record is from RNAcentral.
ACUCCUACGGGAGGCAGCAGUGGGGAAUAUUGCACAAUGGGCGCAAGCCUGAUGCAGCCAUGCCGCGUGUAUGAAGAAGGCCUUCGGGUUGUAAAGCACUUUCAGUGAGGGAGGAAGGUAGUGUAGUUAACACCUGCAUUAUUUGACGUUACCUACAGAAGAAGCACCGGCUAACUCCGUGCCAGCAGCCGCGGUAAUACGGAGGGUGCGAGCGUUAAUCGGAAUUACUGGGCGUAAAGCGCAUGCAGGCGGCCUGUUAAGUCCGAGAUGUGGAAAGCCCGGGGCUUAACCUCGGAAUUGCAUUUGAAACUGGCAGGCUAGAGUCUUGUAGAGGGGGGUAGAAUUUCAGGUGUAGCGGUGAAAUGCGUAGAGAUCUGAAGGAAUACCAGUGGCGAAGGCGGCCCCCUGGACAAAGACUGACGCUCAGAUGCGAAAGCGUGGGGAGCAAACAGGAUUAGAUACCCUGGUA